GGUUCAGAACGAACGCUGGCGGCGUGCUUAACACAUGCAAGUCGAACGCGAAAGGGACUUCGGUCCUGAGUAAAGUGGCGCACGGGUGAGUAACGCGUAGAUAACCUGUCUUCAUGUCUGGAAUAAUACGCCGAAAGGGGUACUAAUACCGGAUAUUCUUGCUUUUUCAUAAGUUAUGCAAGCAAAGGUGGCCUCUGCAUAUGCUACUGCAUGAAGAGGGGUCUGCGUACCAUUAGCUAGUAGGUGGGGUAAUGGCCUACCUAGGCGACGAUGGUUAGCGGGUCUGAGAGGAUGAUCCGCCACACUGGCACUGGAACACGGGCCAGACUCCUACGGGAGGCAGCAGUGAGGAAUAUUGCGCAAUGGGGGAAACCCUGACGCAGCGACGCCGCGUGAAGUGAGGAAGGCCUUCGGGUCGUAAAGCUCUGUUAAGAGGAAAGAAGUGUACAAUGGCUAAUACCUGUUGUAUUUGACGGUACCUCUAAAGGAAGCACCGGCUAACUCCGUGCCAGCCGCCGC
This 519-nucleotide ribosomal RNA is filed under the name uncultured bacterium. Its description in RNAcentral is "bacterial SSU rRNA". It matches the Rfam family "Bacterial small subunit ribosomal RNA", at positions 21 to 518 of the family's 1533-position model. The record is from RNAcentral.